Helianthus annuus (common sunflower) is the source of this 701-nucleotide long non-coding RNA. RefSeq lists it as uncharacterized. The record is from RefSeq and is a predicted model, not a curated record. The transcript is spliced from 3 exons. Lineage: Eukaryota; Viridiplantae; Streptophyta; Magnoliopsida; Asterales; Asteraceae.
UCCAAACUUCUUCCUCUUUAUUUUUCUCUUAUUAAAAACACCCAUUUCCAUCUAUCUCAGUUGCGUUUGAAUCCAAAUCAGGGACCUACAAUCGGCCCAUGACUCCUCUUCGUGAUUUUUUGGCUGAAUCACGUUGCUUCGUUUUCAUGGAAUUUGGUUACCUAAUUACUAUUGUUGCCAGUGUUGUUGGGUGGAUCUGUAUUGAUUGUGUCGUUGCUCGAUGGGUCUGUGGCGGUUGUUCUCUUCAUCAAAGCUAUGUCGUCGGUCAGUUUACCUAAAACCUAAUUUUUCAAUUUUAUGUUCUAAUCUAUGUGACCCCAUAUCCUAAGUAAAUCGAAAUUUGUAUCUAAGUUCUCUAAUUGGUGUUCUGAAGUUUGAAAUUUCAUCCAUUUAUAUCCAACUUCGAGUCGAGCAUCUAUGGGGAAGAUAGAAGUUUGGAAGCCAUGAAUCAAGGGAUUGGUGUUAAUCUUGAUCUCAACUUCUGUUUUUUCUGCUGAUGAUAGUUGAAAGGGGAACGACAAUGUUCAAAAGGUGGAUGUGUGCUUUAAAAUUUAUGAAUUACCUUCAGAGAAAUAACUUAAGGGGAAGAACUUGUUUUUUUUUCUUUCCUGCCCUUACUCUUCCCUUGUCUCUCCUCUGUUCUUUGCUUGAUUUUGUUAUGAUUUUACGUUUAAUAUAUGAUUUUUAGUGCUUUAGAAGCU